AGCGGAGGAAAAGAAACUAACAAGGAUUCCCCUAGUAACUGCGAGUGAAGCGGGAAAAGCUCAAAUUUAAAAUCCUUCGGGAAUUGUAAUCUAGAGAAGUGUUUUCGGUCGUUGCCUCGGACAAGUCCCUUGGAACAGGGCGUCAUAGAGGGUGAGAAUCCCGUCCUUGCCGAGCUCCCAACGUCUAUGUGAUGCACUCUCGAAGAGUCGAGUUGUUUGGGAAUGCAGCUCAAAACGGGUGGUAAACUCCAUCUAAAGCUAAAUAUUGGCGAGAGACCGAUAGCGAACAAGUACCGUGAGGGAAAGAUGAAAAGCACUUUGGACAGAGAGUUAAACAGUACGUGAAAUUGUUGAAAGGGAAACGCUUGAAGUCAGUCGCGUUGCAGGGACUCAGCCGCGAGGUGCAUUUCUCUGCAACGGGUCAACAUCAGUUUCGAGCGCGGGAAAAGGGCUUGAGGAAUGUGGCAACCUCGGUUGUGUUAUAGCCUCCUGUCGUACACCGCGCCCGGGACUGAGGACCGCUGAUAGGAUGUUGACGUAAUGGCUUUAAGCGACCCGUCUUGA
Molecule: ribosomal RNA, 564 nt
Filed under: uncultured Dacrymycetes
Lineage: Eukaryota; Fungi; Basidiomycota; Dacrymycetes
Description: eukaryotic LSU rRNA
Rfam family: Eukaryotic large subunit ribosomal RNA
Source: RNAcentral